This is a non-coding RNA of Poecilia reticulata (guppy), 426 nucleotides long. The record is from RefSeq and is a predicted model, not a curated record. Lineage: Eukaryota; Metazoa; Chordata; Actinopteri; Cyprinodontiformes; Poeciliidae.
CAAAGCGGCCGCUGAAGUUGGCUUACGAUUGAAGGUUCGGGACAGCGUUCGUAGCUACAAGCUGUGAUCCAACUAUAAGGAGCAGACUUUACUGUACAUCGUAAGUGAACUGCAAUAUCCAGAGGCAGCUCUACGGAGCAUGGAGCUGAAAGAAUGAGUGGCAAGCUUUGGAGAUCUGCAUCAGAGGCCAUCUUUCAGACAUGCACCACUGCUGUCCGUCCAAGAUCCUCCGGUUGCCCAGGCGUUACACGGGUGAAGGAACAGAAUGACUGGAGUUUCUGGCUGAGAGGGACCAGGGCUGAYACGRCGAACAGUGAGGAGAACCGUCUGCACUGUGAGCAGCACCAGAACUCCUGAUGGGUCUCCUUCAGGAAGAAGCAGAGAGACGGCCGACCUCCACAGAGAAGAGUUCACCCAAACAUCAGA